This 367-nucleotide ribosomal RNA is filed under the name Eukaryota sp. Its description in RNAcentral is "SSU rRNA". It matches the Rfam family "Eukaryotic small subunit ribosomal RNA", at positions 1325 to 1700 of the family's 1831-position model. The record is from RNAcentral.
UCGUUAACGAACGAGACCUCGACCUGCUAACUAGUCUGCAUAACGCCUUCGUUGCGUUGUGUAGUUUUACUUCUUAGAGGGACUAUCGGUUUCAAGCCGGUGGAAGUUCGAGGCAAUAACAGGUCUGUGAUGCCCUUAGAUGUUCUGGGCUGCACGCGCGCUACACUGACAUGUUCAUCGAGUUUUUUUUCUUACCUUAACCGAUAGGUUUGGGAAAUCUUUGAAAGCAUGUCGUGAUGGGGAUAGAUUAUUGUAAUUUUUAAUCUUCAACGAGGAAUUCCUAGUAAUCGCAUGUCAUUAACGUGCAAUGAUUACGUCCCUGCCCUUUGUACACACCGCCCGUCGCUAUUACCGAUUGAAUGGAUUC